UACGGAGGGUGCGAGCGUUGUUCGGAAUCACUGGGCGUAAAGCGCGUGUAGGCGGCCCACUAAGUCUGAUGUGAAAGCCCGGGGCUCACCCCCGGAAGUGCAUUGGAAACUGGUGGACUCGAGUCCCGGAGAGGAGAGUGGAGUUCCUGGUGUAGCGGUGAAAUGCGUAGAUAUCAGGAGGAACACCGGUGGCGAAGGCGGCUCUCUGGACGGUGACUGACGCUGAGACGCGAAAGCGUGGGGAGCGAACGGG
Molecule: ribosomal RNA, 253 nt
Filed under: uncultured bacterium
Lineage: Bacteria
Description: partial 16S ribosomal RNA
Rfam family: Bacterial small subunit ribosomal RNA
Source: RNAcentral